Oncorhynchus keta (chum salmon) is the source of this 426-nucleotide long non-coding RNA. RefSeq lists it as uncharacterized. The record is from RefSeq and is a predicted model, not a curated record. NCBI's taxonomy places the organism in Eukaryota, Metazoa, Chordata, Actinopteri, Salmoniformes, Salmonidae. The transcript is spliced from 3 exons.
GGCCAUCCAGAAUCACAACAACUCACGGACUUCUGCUCCACUGAAGCAUGCGCAUUGUUUUCGUGACGUUGUGAGCUUACCCAUCUAUACCUACCCACCCUCUAAAAAGUUUGGUAAACAAUAACUAGCUACUUUGCUGAGGAUAUUUGAUCUCAAAUUUCAAGCAGGGGAAGGUCAACCGUGCAGACAAUCCGUAGACGUUGAUCAACGGUCACAAUGUUAAUUUUCUUGAUCGGAGUUAAAAAUCGCGACUGCCUCUCUGCGAAGAGUGGACUCAUGAUUCAGGCCUCCUCGUCCCACUCAUCCAAAGACUCAGAUCCUCUCCAGGUCUUUGGGAUGGUCAGGCAGGUCCUCCAGGAGAGCAGGGUUCCUCCUGUAGAUGUAAGCGCUGGCAUCGUCGUCCAGAUUCACCAGCUCUGCCAGUGA